CACGGGGGGAGCAAGCGUUGUUCGGAUUCAUUGGGCGUAAAGGGUGCGUAGGCGGCGCGGUAAGUCGGGUGUGAAAUCUUGGAGCUUAACUCCGAAACUGCAUUCGAUACUGCCGUGCUUGAGGACUGGAGAGGAGACUGGAAUUUACGGUGUAGCGGUGAAAUGCGUAGAUAUCGUAAGGAAGACCAGUGGCGAAGGCGGGUCUCUGGACAGUUCCUGACGCUGAGGCACGAAGGCCAGGGGAGCAAACGGG
RNAcentral lists this ribosomal RNA (253 nucleotides) under uncultured bacterium. RNAcentral's name for it is "partial 16S ribosomal RNA". It matches the Rfam family "Bacterial small subunit ribosomal RNA", at positions 524 to 776 of the family's 1533-position model. The record is from RNAcentral.